Long non-coding RNA from Carassius auratus (goldfish), 3207 nucleotides. RefSeq lists it as uncharacterized. The transcript is spliced from 6 exons. The record is from RefSeq and is a predicted model, not a curated record. NCBI's taxonomy places the organism in Eukaryota, Metazoa, Chordata, Actinopteri, Cypriniformes, Cyprinidae.
UCUAAAACAAAAGACAUUUGCUUAUUUCAUCAUUCAAACACUAUCUUAUUGUAUUUCUACGCCAUAACCGGUUUUAUACGCAAUCUUAGUACGUAUUACCAUAGACAGUAGCGUAUUACUCGUAUGAGAAUUGGAAUUUACCCCAUGUUUCUUUCCGGCUUGAAAUGCUUCCGUCUGUACGAAUGAUUGGUUAAACUCUGCAGUCAAGUGAUUGUUUAUUGGUGGAGGAGACAUCCCUCAUGUUGAGCCAGCAUUCUGUGUUUUCAGUUUACGAGUGCGUUACAUCUAGAUGGAAACCUUUUACACAAGUACAUUUUUAUUACUGCUUUUCAAAAUACACGUAAUACAUUUAAAUGUUCUGUUUGAUAUGACGUAAGCUGUUCACAAUCACUUGCUAAAAUAACCCGACGAUAGUUGUAGGUUGCACCUAAAUAACUAACUAACCAACCUAUCUGUCGAUCAGAGUUGAAAACGGGUGAGCAUUCAUUAAUGAUGAAAAAAUUGCCUUUGUUUGUAGAAAGUUUGUAGAUUGAAUCCUAGAUUAAACACAACUUGGAAGUAUGGAUCACUAAUCAUUGUAAGCUACUUCAUUUGUAUAUUUAUCUAUUCAAUGUUAAUGUUGCUGUGUAGUAGUGAAGAUCUGAGCUAAUAACUUUUACUGUAGCCAUUUCCCUGAAUGAUCUUUGCUAUAGUGUGAGCAGUUUAUUGACUCUGUCCAAUAAUGACAGUGUGUAAUUUCAUGAAUUGACACGUAUUUAACGGUUUGGGGGAACAUUGUCAUUCAGAUAGAUGGAGGUGGGUCUUUAGAUGCUUGGUGACAGUAUUGUACAUAUUCUGUGUAUUCUGGCUUCAGCACAUUUACAUGUAAAAUGGUAUUAUCACUAUUAGGUUAUACAAAACAGAAUAACAGAAAACUCCCACUUCACAAUUUUUUUGAUGGUUUGUUCUACUUUAACCCUCUAUGGUAUGAAGUUGCCAUGACAACUGAAUGUCCCUACAAAACUCCUUUUCCCACUGUCAUUCUGACACAGAAGACACCUGUUGAAGUGCUUCAGAAAUUGCUCUAUUAGCCUAAUUUAAUAAACUAAACAUCUUUUCUCAAGGGGGAUUUUUUUGUAACAUCUUUGAAAAUGAAUACAGCAAUAUUUUUAUGGAAAGGCCAAUCAGACGAGUGCAGAGUUGGCCUGUCAUGGAGAAGAAAGACUGCAGGGGGAUCGUGCAUGAAGUGCAGCAAAUGUGACUUGCACCUUUGCAUCACAUUUGAAAGGAACUGCUUUUUGCAGUUUCACGGGAUGUCAUGAAAUGUCAUGAGUUGGAUUGAGACAGGUGCACAUGGAUGGACUGGGAAAACACACACUUUACUUCAGGGAGCUGCCUAUUGGUGUUUGAAUCGCAGGCAUAUCUACAGGCAGCUGCGUCCCAGCCGUCAGCAUGUCUGGCACUGCUACAGUCCUGCAGCAGUUUGUGAGUGGCCUUAAGAGUCGAAAUUAAGAUACACAGGCCAAAAGCUGCCAAAGACCUCCAGCAUUAUGUUACCACAGAACUAAGAGAGUGAGCUUGAUUGGUGUGGAAGGAGGAAAGGCCACCCGUAUCAGCCAUUUUGCCAACUACAUGCAGAACCUGAUUUCCACCAGUGACUGGUCAUGGAGAUGGCUUCUAUGACAAUCGGUCACCUGUCUAUGGCUGGAGACACCUUCACUGCAGAGUAUGUGGAGUUUGAGGUGAAGAGAGCUCUAGAAUGCCUGGGAGCAGACAGGAAUAAGGGCAGACGGCAUGCAGCGCAGGUGCAGCCAUUUUUUGACAACAUUUUCAAUGCUGUGUGGGACUCCAAACAGCCGAUCCGUGAGGGAGCAGUAUCUGCACUCAGAGCCGGUCUGAUCCUCACUACGAAAGAGAUGCAGAAACCACAGUGGUACAAGGAAAGAGGGGCAACCAUCUGCUUCCUGCGGUUCAGAAUCCGCCGCUGCUGAGGCAAGGAAGAGAAUGAGCUUGUGGAGAUCACAAGUGGAUCUGGCUGAGGAGUUUAGAGACUUUCCCUUUCGCGCUUGUUGGCGGUGGACGAGAGACAAUGAUGUUAUAUCUUUUAACACUUUCCGAUACAGAGGCUAGUGCUCUGCUGGGUUCGGCCCAGGAAGAGCAGAAGAUGUCCAGUGAUGGCGAAGAAGCUGAGGCUGAGCCUUCACAAUCCUCUUGCCCUGCAGUAUGUAGAGCUAUUGGAGGUUAUGGAUCGAGCCAGGGCAAAGUUGGCCAUGGAAGCGCGCUGGCAAGGUGAUGCCGUGAGGUCAUCUCGACGAGUGUUAUCUUUCCGACCAUAGCCCUCCAGCUCAGGUGAGUCUUCCAUUUCUGCCUGAUCUCCAUAAAGAGAUUGAAAAGGAAUAGAAGAGACCGUUUUCUUCCUGCAUCCAUUGAUUUUCAACAUACAAGUUAUGCCAACAUCGAAACGAUGCACGAAAGUGGCUAAGAGUGGAUGCCCCCUGUAGAAGAGACGCUAGCUAUCUCUCGUCUAGCUAUCUCUCUGUGGGGUAGACGUCCUCUCUUAAAUUUCCCUCCUUGCCAUCUAAGCCCCUUCAGGAUACAUCUUGCUUAAAUGGCAAGGCAUAUGCAGCAGCAUGCACAUGAUGGUGGUGCUUCAAGCGUAUCAGACUGACCUGCUGAAAGACCUGGAUAAAGGCGAGGGCCUUUCCCCUGAUCAGGUAGCUGUGCUGGGCCGCACCACAUCUCUCUCUCCAUGCUACAAAGCAGGCUCCCCCUGCCAUGGGCAGUUCUAUGGCACCCAUGGUGGUAAUGGAGAGACAUCUGUGGGUGAACCUGGCAGAUAUCAGGCAGAAAGAAAGGGGCUUUCUUCUCGAUGCUCUGUUUUCACCUUCCAAACUGGUCAGUACCUGCGUUGUGAGAAGGAGACUUGGUCAUCAGGCCCGGCAUGGCACUGCAAGGAAUUUCCUGGAUGUCCGGCCAGGUCACCCUGAGGUGCUUACUGGUCGCUUGGCUAUCCCUCCUUGCUGACGCUAUCCUAAACCUACUGCCCCGACUUGCUGCCUUCCAGACUCACACUUUUACUGGUACACUGACUUGUGAUUACAUUCCAGCCUUACUUCCAAAGCUGAUAUUUAACUAUUUCAGUUAUUAUAUAGAGCAUCACAGUCCCGCCCACAGCCCGAGAGAGCUCUGGUGCCGGAAGUAAAUUUCCCAUUCAUUUCUCCCAUUGAC